Molecule: long non-coding RNA, 364 nt
Organism: Papaver somniferum (opium poppy)
Lineage: Eukaryota; Viridiplantae; Streptophyta; Magnoliopsida; Ranunculales; Papaveraceae
Exons: 3
Source: RefSeq, a predicted model, not a curated record
CUCUUGUUUUCUUUCUCUUCUUCUGCAAUUUUUCCUUAAGCAUAGCCAAUCUAAGUUAGAUUACAAGGAAAGAAGAUGAAGUGAUUCAAUAAAUUUGUAAAUCUCGGCAUCAAAGGUUCGAGAAGUGAAUACAAUUUUAGGAACUCUGCAACAAUUUCGUGAAGAACUCUGCAACAAUUCGAUUUGGAUCAAGGGAUGAAUAUGUUGUAUGCACAAGAUGCUUGAAUAGAAGAUUUAGGAGAAAAGUUACCAGAUUGAAAGGCGAAGUACCAAAAGGAUUACCAGAUUGGAAAGAAGAAGAGAAAUAACCUUUAGGAGAAGAAAUUUCAGAUGGUCUAUUAUAUCUAGUUCAACUUUCUCAUUA